Molecule: long non-coding RNA, 474 nt
Organism: Tigriopus californicus
Lineage: Eukaryota; Metazoa; Arthropoda; Copepoda; Harpacticoida; Harpacticidae
Exons: 2
Source: RefSeq, a predicted model, not a curated record
CCUCGCCCAUAAGUUGAAGCUGUUGAAUGACCUCUUUUAGGUGGUCAUCCGCGGACAAAGGAUUGAUUUGUUCCCGGACGUGCUUCAUAAACUGUUGCCAAGGAAUCACCGGAUAUUGCGACAAAGACUUUCUCCAAUCGGCUCACUAAUGGCGUGUUUGAGCGUUUUCAUGUCUUGAGAGUUGCUCACAUUGGCAUCCAAAACAAACGUCCGAGGAUGGAGAUCGAAAACGUUACCGAAUUCCGUCAAUAUCUGUUUGAGCACGUGAUCAGCGUCCUUGGAAGUGUGCUCUCCUACGGCGUUUUUGGAACAAGACUUCACAUCUGCAUGUGUGGCCACCAAAAUGAUCCGAGCGGGCUUGUUUGACUUCCCUUGGUCACCUAUAAAGGUGAAUGACAAAUUUGCAGAAUAGUAAAAUGAUAUUAUCAUUGAUGUUCUCAAACUUUUGCAAAUAAGAUUUAUUUACAUCCUGGA